GACGAACGCUGGCGGCGUGCUUAACACAUGCAAGUCGAACGGAAAGGCCCCCUUGUGGGGUACUCGAGUGGCGAACGGGUGAGUAACACGUGAGUAACCUACCCUUGACUUUGGGAUAACUUCAGGAAACUGGGGCUAAUACCGGAUAGGAGCUCCUGCUGCAUGGUGGGGGUUGGAAAGUUUCGGCGGUUGGGGAUGGACUCGCGGCUUAUCAGCUAGUUGGUGGGGUAGUGGCUCACCAAGGCUUUGACGGGUAGCCGGCCUGAGAGGGUGACCGGCCACAUUGGGACUGAGAUACGGCCCAGACUCCUACGGGAGGCAGCAGUGGGGAAUAUUGCACAAUGGGCGGAAGCCUGAUGCAGCAACGCCGCGUGCGGGAUGACGGCCUUCGGGUUGUAAACCGCUUUCGCCUGUGACGAAGCGUGAGUGACGGUAAUGGGUAAAGAAGCACCGGCUAACUACGUG
Molecule: ribosomal RNA, 465 nt
Filed under: uncultured bacterium
Lineage: Bacteria
Description: partial 16S ribosomal RNA
Rfam family: Bacterial small subunit ribosomal RNA
Source: RNAcentral